This is a long non-coding RNA of Arachis duranensis, 295 nucleotides long. RefSeq lists it as uncharacterized. The record is from RefSeq and is a predicted model, not a curated record. NCBI's taxonomy places the organism in Eukaryota, Viridiplantae, Streptophyta, Magnoliopsida, Fabales, Fabaceae. The transcript has 3 exons.
CUCAAGAUCUUGUUGACAUUAUCAAGGCACAGCUUCAAAGGCCCUUUUGUUGACUAUGCUGCAUUCAAAAAUAUACCCUUUGGAAAGUAUGCUAGCUGCAAAGGUUGAAUAUGAAUGCAGAAUGAGAGGAGCACAGUGAAUAGAAUUCAAUCCUAUCGUUGGUGGUGGGCUGAAUGCAAGUGUCAUAAACUAUUUGGAAAAUAACCAAAAGUUUAAUUUAGUUAUCAUCACCAAAUGCUAUCUCCUAGUAUUUAUUUUUUAUUGUUCAAUUUUUCUCACAUAUUUGGCAGAUUAA